This 465-nucleotide ribosomal RNA is filed under the name uncultured bacterium. RNAcentral's name for it is "partial 16S ribosomal RNA". It matches the Rfam family "Bacterial small subunit ribosomal RNA", at positions 28 to 507 of the family's 1533-position model. The record is from RNAcentral.
GACGAACGCUGGCGGUGUGCUUAACACAUGCAAGUCGAACGGUAAGGCCCUUUCGGGGGUACACGAGUGGCGAACGGGUGAGUAACACGUGAGUAACCUGCCCUCAUCUCUGGGAUAACAGUCGGAAACGGUUGCUAAUACUGGAUAUGAGCCUGCAAGGCAUCUUGUGGGUUGGAAAGAUUUUUUGGUUGGGGAUGGACUCGCGGCCUAUCAGCUUGUUGGUGAGGUAGUGGCUCACCAAGGCUUCGACGGGUAGCCGGCCUGAGAGGGCGACCGGCCACAUUGGGACUGAGAUACGGCCCAAACUCCUACGGGAGGCAGCAGUGGGGAAUAUUGCACAAUGGACGGAAGUCUGAUGCAGCAACGCCGCGUGCGGGAUGACGGCCUUCGGGUUGUAAACCGCUUUCAAUUGUGACGAAGCUUUUUGUGACGGUAGCAGUAGAAGAAGCACCAGCUAACUACGUG